This 253-nucleotide ribosomal RNA is filed under the name uncultured bacterium. Its description in RNAcentral is "partial 16S ribosomal RNA". It matches the Rfam family "Bacterial small subunit ribosomal RNA", at positions 524 to 776 of the family's 1533-position model. The record is from RNAcentral.
UACAGAGAGUGCAAACGUUGUUCGGAAUUACUGGGCUUAAAGCGCGCGUAGGCGGCAUCGUAAGUGUCUGGUGAAAUCCCACGGCUCACCCGUGGAACUGCCGGGCAUACUGCGGUGCUAGAGUGUGGUAGGGGAGAGCGGAACUCCUGGUGGAGCGGUGAAAUGCGUAGAUAUCAGGAGGAACACCGGUGGCGAAGGCGGCUCUCUGGUCCAUAACUGACGCUGAGGUGCGAAAGCUAGGGGAGCAAACGGG